This 253-nucleotide ribosomal RNA is filed under the name uncultured bacterium. Its description in RNAcentral is "partial 16S ribosomal RNA". It matches the Rfam family "Bacterial small subunit ribosomal RNA", at positions 524 to 776 of the family's 1533-position model. The record is from RNAcentral.
UACGUAGGUGGCGAGCGUUGUCCGGAUUUACUGGGCGUAAAGGGAGCGUAGGCGGACUUUUAAGUGAGAUGUGAAAUACUCGGGCUCAACUUGAGUGCUGCAUUUCAAACUGGAAGUCUAGAGUGCAGGAGAGGAGAAUGGAAUUCCUAGUGUAGCGGUGAAAUGCGUAGAUAUUAGGAGGAACACCAGUGGCGAAGGCGGCUUACUGGACUGUAACUGACGUUGAGGCUCGAAAGCGUGGGGAGCAAACAGG